RNAcentral lists this ribosomal RNA (254 nucleotides) under uncultured bacterium. Its description in RNAcentral is "partial 16S ribosomal RNA". It matches the Rfam family "Bacterial small subunit ribosomal RNA", at positions 524 to 776 of the family's 1533-position model. The record is from RNAcentral.
UACGGAGGGGGCAAGCGUUGUUCGGAAUUACUGGGCGUAAAGCGCGCGCAGGUGGUCCAUUAAGCCCGGCGUGAAAGCCCCCGGCUCAACCGGGGAGGGUCGUCGGGGACUGGUGGACUUGAGGGCGGCAGGGGCUGGUGGAAUCCCCGGUGUAGUGGUGAAAUGCGUAGAGAUCGGGGGGGAACACCCGUGGCGAAGGCGGCCAGCUGGGCCGACCCUGACACUGAGGCGCGAAGGCGUGGGGAGCGAACGGG